GCCUGGGUGGCUCAGUCGGUUGAGCAUCCGACUUCAGCUAGGGUCAUGAUCUCACAGUUCGUGGGUUCGAGCCCCACGUCGGGCU
RNAcentral lists this transfer RNA (85 nucleotides) under Felis catus (domestic cat). It matches the Rfam family "tRNA". Rfam says of the family: Transfer RNA (tRNA) molecules are approximately 80 nucleotides in length. Their secondary structure includes four short double-helical elements and three loops (D, anti-codon, and T loops). The record is from Rfam by way of RNAcentral. RNAcentral also lists the same sequence under 1 other name. Lineage: Eukaryota; Metazoa; Chordata; Mammalia; Carnivora; Felidae.